AGAGUUUGAUCCUGGCUCAGGAUGAACGCUAGCUACAGGCUUAACACAUGCAAGUCGAGGGGCAUCAUGAUCAAAGCUUGCUUUGAUUGAUGGCGACCGGCGCACGGGUGAGUAACGCGUAUCCAACCUUCCCCCCAGUAGGGCAUAGCCCGGCGAAAGUCGGAUUAAUACCCUAUGUUUUCCAAUGAGGACAUCUGAGCUGGAACAAAGAUUUAUCGCUGGGGGGUGGGGAUGCGUCCGAUUAGGUUGUUGGCGGGGUAACGGCCCACCAAGCCCGCGAUCGGUAGGGGUUCUGAGAGGAAGGUCCCCCACACUGGUACUGAGACACGGACCAGACUCCUACGGGAGGCAGCAGUGAGGAAUAUUGGUCAAUGGGCGUAAGCCUGAACCAGCCAAGUAGCGUGCAGGACGACGGCCCUAUGGGUUGUAAACUGCUUUUAUGCGGGGAUAAAGUGAGGUAUGUAUACCUUUUUGUAGGUACCGCAUGAAUAAGGACCGGCUAAUUCCGUGCCAGCCGCUGC
Molecule: ribosomal RNA, 521 nt
Filed under: uncultured bacterium
Lineage: Bacteria
Description: bacterial SSU rRNA
Rfam family: Bacterial small subunit ribosomal RNA
Source: RNAcentral